RNAcentral lists this non-coding RNA (202 nucleotides) under Mesobacillus selenatarsenatis SF-1. Its description in RNAcentral is "Bacillus selenatarsenatis SF-1 Bacterial small subunit ribosomal RNA". It matches the Rfam family "Bacterial small subunit ribosomal RNA", at positions 1 to 199 of the family's 1533-position model. The record is from Rfam by way of RNAcentral. Lineage: Bacteria; Bacillati; Bacillota; Bacilli; Caryophanales; Bacillaceae.
UUAUUGGAGAGUUUGAUCCUGGCUCAGGACGAACGCUGGCGGCGUGCCUAAUACAUGCAAGUCGAGCGGAUCUUCAUUAGCUUGCUUUUGAAGAUCAGCGGCGGACGGGUGAGUAACACGUGGGCAACCUGCCUGUAAGACUGGGAUAACUUCGGGAAACCGGAGCUAAUACCGGAUAAUCCAUUCCCUCACAUGAGGGAAU